Small nuclear RNA from Myotis daubentonii (Daubenton's bat), 103 nucleotides. The record is from RefSeq and is a predicted model, not a curated record. NCBI's taxonomy places the organism in Eukaryota, Metazoa, Chordata, Mammalia, Chiroptera, Vespertilionidae.
GUGCUCGCUUUGGCAGCACAUAGACUAAAAUUGGAGCGACACAGAGAUUAACAUGGCCCUGUGCAGGGUCGACACGCAAAUUCGUGAAGCGUUCCAUAUUUUU